GAAACUGUGAAUGGCUCAUUAAAACAGUUAUAGUUUAUUUGAUAAUGGAAAGCUACAUGGAUAACCGUGGUAAUUCUAGAGCUAAUACAUGCUAUCAAACCUGACUCUUGGAAGGGUUGUAUUUAUUAGAUAUUAAGCCAAUAUUCCUUCGGGUCUAUUGCGACGAAUCAGAAUAACUGAUCGAAUCUCAAAUUUGAGAUAAAUCAUUCAAGUUUCUGCCCUAUCAGCUUUCGAUGGUAGUGUAUUGGACUACCAUGGCAGUCACGGGUAACGGAGAAUUAGGGUUCGGUUCCGGAGAGGGAGCCUGAAAAACGGCUACCACAUCUAAGGAAGGCAGCAGGCGCGUAAAUUACCCAAUCCUGAUUCAGGGAGGUAGUGACAAGAAAUAACAACUCGGGGGCUUUUAGCCUUACGGGAUUGCAAUGAGGACAAUUUAAACCACUUAGCGAGGAACAAUUGGAGGGCAAGUCUGGUGCCAGCAGCCGCGGUAAUUCCAGCUCCAAUAGCGUAUAUUAAAGUUGUUGCAGUUAAAAAGCUCGUAGUUGAACUUCAGGCUGUUCGCAGUUAGGCUUAUACCUGAUUGAGAGCAGUCUUCCGUCUGCGAACUGCAUUCGGCCUUCACUGGUCGGUGUAGGGAGUAGGCAUUUUACUAUGAAAAAAUUAGAGUGUUUCAGCAGGUCUUUGCCCGGAUACAUUAGCAUGGAAUAAUGGAAUAGGAUUCAAGUCCAUUUGAUUGGUUAUUGGAUUUGAAUAAUGAUUAAUAGGGACAGUUGGGGGCAUUAGUAUUUAAUAGUCAGAGGUGAAAUUCUUGGAUUUAUUAAAGACUAACUUAUGCGAAAGCAUUUGCCAAGGAUGUUUUCAUUAAUCAAGAACGAAAGUUAGGGGAUCAAAUACGAUCAGAUACCGUAGUAGUCUUAACUAUAAACUAUACCGACUCGGGAUCGGACAGAUUUUUAAGGUCUGUUCGGCACCGUAAGAGAAAUCAAAGUCUUUGGGUUCUGGGGGGAGUAUGGUCGCAAGGCUGAAACUUAAAGGAAUUGACGGAAGAUUACCACCAGGAUUGGAUUCUGCGGCUUAAUUUGACUCAACACGGGGAAACUUACCAGGUCAAAACUGUAGUGGGAUUGACAGAUUGAGAGCUCUUUCUUGAUUUGCAGGGUGGUGGUGCAUGGCCGUUCUUAGUUGGUGGAGUGAUUUGUCUGGUUAAUUCCGUUAACGAACGAGACCUUAACCUGCUAACUAGUCCUGGAGUGAACAACUCCACGGUACUUCUUAGAGGGACUAUGCGGUACCAAACGCAUGGAAGUUUGAGGCAAUAACAGGUCUGUGAUGCCCUUAGAUGUCCUGGGCCGCACGCGCAAUACAAUGACACGUUCAGCAAGUUUUUCCUAACUCGGAAGAGUAAGGUAAUCUUUAUAAUACGUGUCGUGUUAGGGAUCGAUCUUUGUAAUUAUAGAUCUUGAACGAGGAAUUCCUAGUAAGUGCAAGUCAUCAACUUGUACUGAUUACGUCCCUUGUCUUUGUACACACCGCCCGUCGCUCCUACCGAUUUCGAGUGAUCCGGUGAACCUUCUGGACUGAGAUUGGUCUCGAACCAGUCGCGGGAAGUUAAGUAAACCUUAUCACUUAGAGGAAGGAGAAGUCGUAACAAGGUAGCCGU
RNAcentral lists this ribosomal RNA (1660 nucleotides) under Dexiotricha colpidiopsis. RNAcentral's name for it is "SSU rRNA". It matches the Rfam family "Eukaryotic small subunit ribosomal RNA". The record is from RNAcentral. Lineage: Eukaryota; Ciliophora; Oligohymenophorea; Philasterida; Loxocephalidae.